Non-coding RNA from Acanthosepion pharaonis, 98 nucleotides. Lineage: Eukaryota; Metazoa; Mollusca; Cephalopoda; Sepiida; Sepiidae. The record is from the annotation of a GenBank genome assembly.
GUUGAAACACUGGUCCUCGUACGACCACCGAAGUUAAGCAACAUCGAACCUGGUCAGUAGCUAGAUGGGUAACCGCUUGGGAAUACCAGAUGCAGUAU